Molecule: ribosomal RNA, 253 nt
Filed under: uncultured bacterium
Lineage: Bacteria
Description: partial 16S ribosomal RNA
Rfam family: Bacterial small subunit ribosomal RNA
Source: RNAcentral
AACGUAGGACGCAAGCGUUAUCCGGAGUUACUGGGCGUAACUAGCGCGCAGGCGGAUGAUUAAGUCGUUUAUGAAAGCCCCUGGCUAAACUGGGGGAGGCUAGACGAUACUGGUUGUCUUGAGUGGGUGAGAGGGAUGUGGAAUUCCGCGUGUAGUGGUGAAAUGCGUAGAUAUGCGGAGGAACACCAGAGGCGAAGGCGACAUCCUGGCACUCAACUGACGCUGAGGCGCGAAAGCAUGGGUAGCGAACGGG